UACAGGGGGGUGCAAAACGUUGCUCGGAAUCAUUGGGCGUAAAGCGCACGUAGGCGGUUCGUUAUGUCGGAUGUGAAAGCCCUUGGCUUAACCGAGGAAGUGCAUCCGAAACUGGCGAGCUAGAGUACUAAAGAGGAUCGCGGAAUUCCCGGUGUAGAGGUGAAAUUCGUAGAUAUCGGGAGGAACACCGGUGGCGAAGGCGGCGAUCUGGGUAGAUACUGACGCUGAGGUGCGAAAGCGUGGGGAGCAAACAGG
This 255-nucleotide ribosomal RNA is filed under the name uncultured bacterium. RNAcentral describes it as "partial 16S ribosomal RNA". It matches the Rfam family "Bacterial small subunit ribosomal RNA", at positions 522 to 776 of the family's 1533-position model. The record is from RNAcentral.